CCUGCCCGAAAGGGCAGAGAGGCUGUUUCCAGUCGACCCUCGGCGUAUAGGAUAAAAAAGGGAGAGCUGCAUUAAGAAACAAAGGUAAAAUUAGAAACACAAGCAAGACAAAACAAAAUAACAAAGCACAAGUACACCCGCAGAAAUAACGUAAAUAAUUAUGGAAAUAUAAGCAACAUAAAUACAGUCGCAUGCAAUAAUUACAAGCAGUAACUACCAUACUAACAACCCUCUGGGGACAUAAGCUAAAACACUA
Molecule: long non-coding RNA, 256 nt
Filed under: Nicotiana benthamiana
Lineage: Eukaryota; Viridiplantae; Streptophyta; Magnoliopsida; Solanales; Solanaceae
Description: long non-coding RNA (NBEN_LNC028197)
Source: RNAcentral